RNAcentral lists this small RNA (96 nucleotides) under Marmota monax (woodchuck). Lineage: Eukaryota; Metazoa; Chordata; Mammalia; Rodentia; Sciuridae. The record is from RNAcentral.
GCUGGGCAUGGUGGCGCAUGCCUGUAAUCCCAGAAGCUUGGGAGGCUGAGUUCAAAGCCAGCCUCAGCAAAAAAGCAAGGCGCUAAGCAACUCAGU